This 75-nucleotide transfer RNA is filed under the name bacterium. RNAcentral's name for it is "tRNA-Thr". It matches the Rfam family "tRNA". From Rfam's summary of the family: Transfer RNA (tRNA) molecules are approximately 80 nucleotides in length. The record is from RNAcentral. RNAcentral also lists the same sequence under 3 other names.
GCCGCCUUAGCUCAGCGGUAGAGCAAUGCUUUCGUAAAGCAUAGGUCGUCGGUUCAAAUCCGACAGGCGGCUCCA